Molecule: ribosomal RNA, 540 nt
Filed under: Russula purpureogracilis
Lineage: Eukaryota; Fungi; Basidiomycota; Agaricomycetes; Russulales; Russulaceae
Description: Russula sp. MC-2019p partial small subunit ribosomal RNA
Rfam family: Bacterial small subunit ribosomal RNA
Source: RNAcentral
UAGUCAAUGCUCGAAAGAGUGAACUAGCUAACUGAAAUCAAUAAAAAAUAAUUGAUAACAUAAGGGAAAAUAAUGAUAUUACCUUAUUAUUAGUGUCGUCCAAAACUGGUGCCAGAAGACUCGGUAAGGCCAGAGACACAAACGUUAAUCGUCUUAAUCAGGCGUAAAGGGUUUGUAGGCAGCUUUAAAAUUUACUUAUAAAAUAAAAAAAAAAAAGUAAAGAAUAAAAGCUAGAAUCAAAUAGAGGAUAUAUGAAAUAAUGUUUAGAGUAGGUCUGAUAUCCUUAGAUACUAAAUAGAAUAUUAAAGGCGAAAGCUUUUUUCCAUUAAUGAUUGACGCUGAGAAACGAAGGUGAGGAUAGGAAAUAGGAUUAGAUACCCAGAAUACCCCUCUCUGUCAACGAUGAAUGGUAGUUAUUAGUAAUAAUUAUUAAUGGCAAUGUUAACACGAUAACCAUUCCGCCUUGUGAGUACAACUGCAAAGUUGAAAACAAAAAAAUUAGUCGGUUUCGGAGCAAACGAAGUGAAGCAUGUUAUUUAA